GAGUUUGAUUAUGGCUCAGAUUGAACGCUGGCGGCAGGCUUAACACAUGCAAGUCGAACGGUAGCAGGAGAAAGCUUGCUUUCUUGCUGACGAGUGGCGGACGGGUGAGUAAUGCUUGGGAAUCUGGCUUAUGGAGGGGGAUAACUACUGGAAACGGUAGCUAAUACCGCGUAAUAUCGAGAGAUUAAAGACUGGGACCUACGGGCCAGUUGCCAUAAGAUGAGCCCAAGUGGGAUUAGGUAGUUGGUGGGGUAAAGGCCUACCAAGCCCGCGAUCUCUAGCUGGUCUGAGAGGAUGACCAGCCACACUGGAACUGAGACACGGUCCAGACUCCUACGGGAGGCAGCAGUGGGGAAUAUUGCACAAUGGGGGGAACCCUGAUGCAGCCAUGCCGCGUGAAUGAAGAAGGCCUUCGGGUUGUAAAGUUCUUUCGGUGGUGAGGAAGGUAUCAACUUUAAUAGAGUUGGUA
Molecule: ribosomal RNA, 469 nt
Filed under: Pasteurellaceae bacterium canine oral taxon 080
Lineage: Bacteria; Pseudomonadati; Pseudomonadota; Gammaproteobacteria; Pasteurellales; Pasteurellaceae
Description: bacterial SSU rRNA
Rfam family: Bacterial small subunit ribosomal RNA
Source: RNAcentral